GCACUUGUACUGUGAAACUGCGAAUGGCUCAUUAAAUCAGUUAUCGUUUAUUUGAUAGUACCUUACUACAUGGAUACCUGUGGUAAUUCUAGAGCUAAUACAUGCUAAAAACCCCGACUUCAGGAAGGGGUGUAUUUAUUAGAUAAAAAACCAACGCCCUUCGGGGCUCCUUGGUGAAUCAUAAUAACUUAACGAAUCGCAUGGCCUUGCGCCGGCGAUGGUUCAUUCAAAUUUCUGCCCUAUCAACUUUCGAUGGUAGGAUAGUGGCCUACCAUGGUGGCAACGGGUAACGGGGAAUUAGGGUUCGAUUCCGGAGAGGGAGCCUGAGAAACGGCUACCACAUCCAAGGAAGGCAGCAGGCGCGCAAAUUACCCAAUCCCGAUACGGGGAGGUAGUGACAAUAAAUACUGAUACGGGGCUCUUUUGGGUCUCGUAAUUGGAAUGAGAACAAUUUAAAUCCCUUAACGAGGAACAAUUGGAGGGCAAGUCUGGUGCCAGCAGCCGCGGUAAUUCCAGCUCCAAUAGCGUAUAUUAAAGUUGUUGCAGUUAAAAAGCUCGUAGUUGAACCUUGGGUCUGGCUGGUCGGUCCGCCUCACCGCGAGUACUGAUCCGGCUGGACCUUUCCUUCUGGGGAACCUCAUGGCCUUCACUGGCUGUGGGGGGAACCAGGACUUUUACUGUGAAAAAAUUAGAGUGUUCAAAGCAGGCCUUUGCUCGAAUACAUUAGCAUGGAAUAAUAGAAUAGGACGUGUGGUUCUAUUUUGUUGGUUUCUAGGACCGCCGUAAUGAUUAAUAGGGAUAGUCGGGGGCGUCAGUAUUCAGCUGUCAGAGGUGAAAUUCUUGGAUUUGCUGAAGACUAACUACUGCGAAAGCAUUCGCCAAGGAUGUUUUCAUUAAUCAGGGAACGAAAGUUAGGGGAUCGAAGACGAUCAGAUACCGUCGUAGUCUUAACCAUAAACUAUGCCGACUAGGGAUCGGACAGGAUUCUAUAAUGACCUGUUCGGCACCUUACGAGAAAUCAAAGUUUUUUGG
Molecule: ribosomal RNA, 1032 nt
Filed under: Penicillium sp.
Lineage: Eukaryota; Fungi; Ascomycota; Eurotiomycetes; Eurotiales; Aspergillaceae
Description: SSU rRNA
Rfam family: Eukaryotic small subunit ribosomal RNA
Source: RNAcentral